This 253-nucleotide ribosomal RNA is filed under the name uncultured bacterium. RNAcentral describes it as "partial 16S ribosomal RNA". It matches the Rfam family "Bacterial small subunit ribosomal RNA", at positions 524 to 776 of the family's 1533-position model. The record is from RNAcentral.
GACGAACCGUGCAAACGUUAUUCGGAAUCACUGGGCUUAAAGGGCGCGUAGGCGGGUCGGCAAGUCAGGGGUGAAAUCCUCCAGCUCAACUGGAGAAGUGCCUUUGAUACUGCCGACCUCGAGGGAGGUAGGGGCGUGCGGAACUUCCGGUGGAGCGGUGAAAUGCGUAGAUAUCGGAAGGAACACCGGUGGCGAAAGCGGCGCGCUGGACCUCUGCUGACGCUGAGGCGCGAAAGCCAGGGGAGCAAACGGG